Molecule: ribosomal RNA, 445 nt
Filed under: uncultured bacterium
Lineage: Bacteria
Description: partial 16S ribosomal RNA
Rfam family: Bacterial small subunit ribosomal RNA
Source: RNAcentral
GUGGGGAAUAUUGGGCAAUGGGCGAAAGCCUGAACCAGCCAUGUCGCGUGAAGGAUGAAUGUCCUAUGGAUUGUAAACUUCUUUUGCAGGAGGGUAAAGUGAGCUACGUGUAGUUCAUUGCAAGUACCCUGCGAAUAAGCAUCGGCUAACUCCGUGCCAGCAGCCGCGGUAAUACGGAGGAUGCGAGCGUUAUCCGGAUUUAUUGGGUUUAAAGGGUGCGUAGGCGGACUAAUUAGUCAGCGGUGAAAUUUUGCGGCUCAACCGUAAAACUGCCGUUGAAACUGUUAGUCUUGAGUGCGGUAGAGGUAGGCGGAAUGUGUGGUGUAGCGGUGAAAUGCUUAGAUAUCACACAGAACACCGAUUGCGUAGGCAGCUUACUGGAGCGCAACUGACGCUGAGGCACGAAAGCGUGGGGAUCGAACAGGAUUAGAAACCCCAGUAGUCC